Daphnia magna is the source of this 840-nucleotide long non-coding RNA. RefSeq lists it as uncharacterized. NCBI's taxonomy places the organism in Eukaryota, Metazoa, Arthropoda, Branchiopoda, Diplostraca, Daphniidae. The record is from RefSeq and is a predicted model, not a curated record. The transcript has 3 exons.
AAUUCAUCACGGAAGGUCAAAAAGUUUAGCAAGUUUCUUCAACGGGGAGCAAAGUGCUCUUAGAAAUCUAUGUUAAUUGUAGUUCAAUAGUAUUAAUUUCAUAGAAAAGGCUAUUCGUCAAUCUAUGAAUAAUUAUCGAUAGCGUACUCACACAAACAACAUAUCGCAAUAACUCCACGAGUUGAUGCAAGGUAUCAUCAUGUGAGGAUGAUCCAAUGAGAAGACUAUUCUCUUGAAGGUCAAUGACAACCAACCAAUAAGUGACUGACAUUUCCCUGAAUCUGUAAGCUUGGCCUGAAUAUAGGCCGUUAGCCUGAGAGGCCAAAAAAGUUCAAAUGGGAAGAAGGAAACAAAAAGUGCGAAGCGUCGUUGAGGAUGAAUGAUAUUUUCAGGAAUUUCAAAUAACUUACGGCCAUACCUAUCGGCCUGUGGAGAUCGCCGUUUAUCUCAUUUCCUCCUAACUCCAAGUCUAAAUUAAGCUUCUCUUGCAAGAAAACCCCCAGGGAAAACGCUACAUUCAGCAUGUUUUACCUGAUUGCAAUUUCCAGGAUACCUGAACAAGACUCAAAGAACGGGAGGCCUGCCUUUUGUCUAGCCGUGUCAUUGCCUUUUGCAAGUCCUUCAUGAUUUUUCUAGCUAAAUGGCAAUAGAAUAACAUGAUGUUAUAGUAGCCUACACUUGCCCCGUUAUAAUUUUCGUUGUUCAGUGAAUGCGCUUGUUUCAAAGGUUUACGUACGUAUAAAAUAUAAAUAUUAUUUAUACGUUUUAACCAAGUCAACCAAGUUAUAAUUUUUUAUUCAUUUAUUAAAACAUCGGUAAAAUAUAAGGAGAAAAAACUUG